RNAcentral lists this ribosomal RNA (468 nucleotides) under uncultured Staphylococcus sp. RNAcentral describes it as "bacterial SSU rRNA". It matches the Rfam family "Bacterial small subunit ribosomal RNA", at positions 299 to 759 of the family's 1533-position model. The record is from RNAcentral. Lineage: Bacteria; Bacillati; Bacillota; Bacilli; Caryophanales; Staphylococcaceae.
GGUGAUCGGCCACACUGGAACUGAGACACGGUCCAGACUCCUACGGGAGGCAGCAGUAGGGAAUCUUCCGCAAUGGGCGAAAGCCUGACGGAGCAACGCCGCGUGAGUGAUGAAGGUCUUCGGAUCGUAAAACUCUGUUAUUAGGGAAGAACAAACGUGUAAGUAACUGUGCACGUCUUGACGGUACCUAAUCAGAAAGCCACGGCUAACUACGUGCCAGCAGCCGCGGUAAUACGUAGGUGGCAAGCGUUAUCCGGAAUUAUUGGGCGUAAAGCGCGCGUAGGCGGUUUUUUAAGUCUGAUGUGAAAGCCCACGGCUCAACCGUGGAGGGUCAUUGGAAACUGGAAAACUUGAGUGCAGAAGAGGAAAGUGGAAUUCCAUGUGUAGCGGUGAAAUGCGCAGAGAUAUGGAGGAACACCAGUGGCGAAGGCGACUUUCUGGUCUGCAACUGACGCUGAUGUGCGAAAU